RNAcentral lists this ribosomal RNA (486 nucleotides) under Metisa plana. RNAcentral describes it as "partial large subunit ribosomal RNA". The record is from RNAcentral. Lineage: Eukaryota; Metazoa; Arthropoda; Insecta; Lepidoptera; Psychidae.
CCUGCGAAACUCGAAUCGAUGACGAACGGAGAGAUUCAACGUUCGUUUCCGCGCUGCGUGCGUGCGGUCGUCUCGGACGUCCGUCGAUCGCGGUCCUUCGGGGCAGCGUCGGCGGGCGCGGAUCGUGCGUAUCGUCGCCGGGGACGGCGUGCACUUCUCUCUCAGUAAGGCAUCGCGACCCGUCCGAGGUCGGUCUGAGCGCCGUUCGGGAGACCGGCGACCUUAACUCGGUCGUCGGACCGCGACGGUGGCCGACCGGCCUUCGAACAAUAACGGACGGUAAUAAUACGAAUCGCGCACGCGCUUCGGCGCGUCAGGCCCGACGCGAGGCGUCGUCGCGUUCGAGGUUCCCGCCCGAGUGCGGACCUCGACGCUGCGCGCCUGCAUCACUAUACGGCCGCCGUGCAGUCUCUGACCGUGCGCGUAUCCGUCUGCGAUGAUUCGGUUUCGGGCACUCGCAGGACCCGUCUUGAACACCGGGACCAA